Molecule: ribosomal RNA, 673 nt
Filed under: Cryptosporidium xiaoi
Lineage: Eukaryota; Apicomplexa; Conoidasida; Eucoccidiorida; Cryptosporidiidae
Description: SSU rRNA
Rfam family: Eukaryotic small subunit ribosomal RNA
Source: RNAcentral
GACCUAUCAGCUUUAGACGGUAGGGUAUUGGCCUACCGUGGCUAUGACGGGUAACGGGGAAUUAGGGUUCGAUUCCGGAGAGGGAGCCUGAGAAACGGCUACCACAUCUAAGGAAGGCAGCAGGCGCGCAAAUUACCCAAUCCUAAUACAGGGAGGUAGUGACAAGAAAUAACAAUACAGAACCUUACGGUUUUGUAAUUGGAAUGAGUUAAGUAUAAACCCCUUAACAAGUAUCAAUUGGAGGGCAAGUCUGGUGCCAGCAGCCGCGGUAAUUCCAGCUCCAAUAGCGUAUAUUAAAGUUGUUGCAGUUAAAAAGCUCGUAGUUAAUCUUCUGUUAAUUUUUAUAUAUAAUAUUUCGAUAUUUAUAUAAUAUUAACAUAAUUCAUAUUACUUUUUAGUAUAUGAAACUUUACUUUGAGAAAAUUAGAGUGCUUAAAGCAGGCUAUUGCCUUGAAUACUCCAGCAUGGAAUAAUAUUAAGGAUUUUUAUUCUUCUUAUUGGUUCUAGAAUAAAAAUGAUGAUUAAUAGGAACAGUUGGGGGCAUUUGUAUUUAACAGUCAGAGGUGAAAUUCUUAGAUUUGUUAAAGACAAACUACUGCGAAAGCAUUUGCCAAGGAUGUUUUCAUUAAUCAAGAACGAAAGUUAGGGGAUCGAAGACGAUCAGAUACCGUCG